AGCGGCGGAUGGGUGAGUAACACGUGGGGAACCUGCCCCUAAGUCUGGGAUACCAUUUGGAAACAGGUGCUAAUACCGGAUAAUAAAGCAGAUCGCAUGAUCAGCUUUUGAAAGGCGGCGUAAGCUGUCGCUAAGGGAUGGCCCCGCGGUGCAUUAGCUAGUUGGUAAGGUAACGGCUUACCAAGGCGACGAUGCAUAGCCGAGUUGAGAGACUGAUCGGCCACAUUGGGACUGAGACACGGCCCAAACUCCUACGGGAGGCAGCAGUAGGGAAUCUUCCACAAUGGACGCAAGUCUGAUGGAGCAACGCCGCGUGAGUGGAGAAGGUUUUCGGAUCGUAAAGCUCUGUUGUUGGUGAAGAAGGAUAGAGGUAGUAACUGGCCUUUAUUUGACGGUAAUCAACCAGAAAGUCACGGCUAACUACGUGCCAGCAGCCGCGGUAAUACGUAGGUGGCAAGCGUUGUCCGGAUUUAUUGGGCGUAAAGCGAGCGCAGGCGGAAAAAUAAGUCUAAUGUGAAAGCCCUCGGCUUAACCGAGGAACUGCAUCGGAAACUGUUUUUCUUGAGAGCAGAAGAGGAGAGUGGAACUCCAUGUGUAGCGGUGGAAUGCGUAGAUAUAUGGAAGAACACCAGUGGCGAAGGCGGCUCUCUGGUCUGCAACUGACGCUGAGGCUCGAAAGCAUGGGUAGCGAACAGGAUUAGAUACCCUGGUAGUCCAUGCCGUAAACGAUGAGUGCUAAGUGU
This 743-nucleotide ribosomal RNA is filed under the name uncultured bacterium. RNAcentral's name for it is "bacterial SSU rRNA". It matches the Rfam family "Bacterial small subunit ribosomal RNA", at positions 94 to 823 of the family's 1533-position model. The record is from RNAcentral.